CGUCAAUGAAAUUGCACCUUUAUGGAAAAUCUGCUGGUAGUAUCGUCAGUGGCGCUACCAGGCGCUACAAAAAUAUUUUUGGCGACUAACUCUGUUGCGUAUGUUUUAAUUGAAAAUUUCAUCAAUAAUGGUUUAUUAUUUCACAAGUGAAGUGGUACAGCCACCUAUUACCUUGUUUAUGGGAAUUGAUAAAUAUGAGAAUGAAGAUCUUAUCAAAUGGGGUUGGCCAGAAGAUGUAUGGUUUCAUGUUGAUAAAUAUUCCUCUGCUCAUGUAUAUCUUCGACUUCGACAUGGCCAGACAAUAGACGACAUUCCUAGUACUGUGUUGGAAGAUGCUGCACAAUUAGUAAAAGCAAACAGCAUUGAAGGGAAUAAAAUGAAUGAUAUUGAUGUGGUAUAUACAAUGUGGUCAAAUUUGAAAAAAACACAAGGUAUGGAGGUUGGCCAAGUUGGUUUUUAUAAAGACAAAGAUGUUCGUAAGAUUCAUGUUGCCAAGCGAAUAAAUGCCAUUGUAAAUCGGCUUAAUAAGACGAAACGUUCUGAAGAAGUAAACUUUAGAGCUGAAAGAGAACAGAGAGAUAAAAAUGAACGAGAAGAUAAGAAAAAGCUCUUAAGAGAACAGAAAGAAAGGGAAAAGGCAGAAGAAAAACAACGUCAGGAAGAAGCAGAGAUGAGAAGUUAUAAUUCUCUCUUUAAUACAUCUAAUAUGACAUCAAAUACGGAAAAUAAUGGAUAUGAUUCGGAUGAUUUCAUGUGAUGAAACUAAUAUUAUUAUUUAUAAUUGUGCCUCAUUCUCUACAUCUCCAACAAAAAAUGUGCAAAAGAAGAAAAUGGCAGAAUAAAACAUGUAAAUCUCUUUCAGAUGUAACAAGGAAACCAUUUGGAAACCACCCGAAUCUGUUAAAAGAGCUCUUUUCCAAUUCAUGAAUUUGUGUAAACCUCCAGCUUUACGCAGGACAUCUGCACCC
RNAcentral lists this unclassified non-coding RNA (968 nucleotides) under Camponotus floridanus (Florida carpenter ant). RNAcentral describes it as "coiled-coil domain-containing protein 25, transcript variant X1". The record is from RNAcentral. Lineage: Eukaryota; Metazoa; Arthropoda; Insecta; Hymenoptera; Formicidae.